UGGGGAAUAUUGGACAAUGGGCGAAAGCCUGAUCCAGCCAUGCCGCGUGUGUGAAGAAGGUCUUCGGAUUGUAAAGCACUUUAAGUUGGGGGGAAGGGCAGUAAGCGAAUACCUUGCUGUUUUGACGUUACCGACAGAAUAAGCACCGGCUAACUCUGUGCCAGCAGCCGCGGUAAUACAGAGGGUGCAAGCGUUAAUCGGAAUUACUGGGCGUAAAGCGCGCGUAGGUGGUUCGUUAAGUUGAAUGUGAAAGCCCCGGGCUCAACCUAGGAACUGCAUCCAAAACUGGCGAGCUAGAGUAGGGCAGAGGGUGGUGGAAUUUCCUGUGUAGCGGUGAAAUGCGUAGAUAUAGGAAGGAACACCAGUGGCGAAGGCGACCACCUGGGCUCAUACUGACACUGAGGUGCGAAAGCGUGGGGAGCAAACAGG
This 429-nucleotide ribosomal RNA is filed under the name Pseudomonadota bacterium. RNAcentral describes it as "Proteobacteria bacterium partial 16S ribosomal RNA". It matches the Rfam family "Bacterial small subunit ribosomal RNA", at positions 355 to 776 of the family's 1533-position model. The record is from RNAcentral. Lineage: Bacteria; Pseudomonadati; Pseudomonadota.